AGGGGGCUGCUACACAUGCAGUCGAGCGGUAGCACAGAGAGCUUGCUCUCGGGUGACGAGCGGCGGACGGGUGAGUAAUGUCUGGGAAACUGCCUGAUGGAGGGGGAUAACUACUGGAAACGGUAGCUAAUACCGCAUAACGUCGCAAGACCAAAGUGGGGGACCUUCGGGCCUCAUGCCAUCAGAUGUGCCCAGAUGGGAUUAGCUAGUAGGUGGGGUAACGGCUCACCUAGGCGACGAUCCCUAGCUGGUCUGAGAGGAUGACCAGCCACACUGGAACUGAGACACGGUCCAGACUCCUACGGGAGGCAGCAGUGGGGAAUAUUGCACAAUGGGCGCAAGCCUGAUGCAGCCAUGCCGCGUGUGUGAAGAAGGCCUUCGGGUUGUAAAGCACUUUCAGCGGGGAGGAAGGCGUUAAGGUUAAUAACCUUGUCGAUUGACGUUACCCGCAGAAGAAGCACCGGCUAACUCCGUGCCAGCAGCCGCGGUAAUACGGAGGGUGCAAGCGUUAAUCGGAAUUACUGGGCGUAAAGCGCACGCAGGCGGUCUGUCAAGUCGGAUGUGAAAUCCCCGGGCUCAACCUGGGAACUGCAUUCGAAACUGGCAGGCUAGAGUCUUGUAGAGGGGGGUAGAAUUCCAGGUGUAGCGGUGAAAUGCGUAGAGAUCUGGAGGAUACCGGUGGCGAAGGCGGCCCCCUGGACAAAGACUGACGCUCAGUGCGAAAGCGGUGGGGAGCAAACAGGAUUAGAUACCCUGGUAGUCCACGCCGUAAACGAUGUCGAUUUGGAGGUUGUGCCCUUGGAGGCGUGGCUUUCGGAGCUAACGCGUUAAAUCGACCGCCUGGGGGAGUACGCCGCAAGGUUAAAACUCAAAUGAAUUGACGGGGGCCCGCACAAGCGGUGGAGCAUGUGUUUAUCGAUGCAACGCGAAGAACUACUUGUCUGACAUCACAGAACUUACAGAGAAUGGAUGUGCUCAGGAACUGUGAAACAGGUGCUGCAUGCCUGUCUCCAGCUCGUGUUGUUGAAAGUUGAGUAAGUUCG
Molecule: ribosomal RNA, 1043 nt
Filed under: Klebsiella pneumoniae
Lineage: Bacteria; Pseudomonadati; Pseudomonadota; Gammaproteobacteria; Enterobacterales; Enterobacteriaceae
Description: bacterial SSU rRNA
Rfam family: Bacterial small subunit ribosomal RNA
Source: RNAcentral